RNAcentral lists this ribosomal RNA (824 nucleotides) under Fusarium cf. solani. Its description in RNAcentral is "partial large subunit ribosomal RNA". It matches the Rfam family "Eukaryotic large subunit ribosomal RNA", at positions 68 to 922 of the family's 3401-position model. Lineage: Eukaryota; Fungi; Ascomycota; Sordariomycetes; Hypocreales; Nectriaceae. The record is from RNAcentral.
ACAGGGAUUGCCCCAGUAACGGCGAGUGAAGCGGCAACAGCUCAAAUUUGAAAUCUGGCUCUCGGGCCCGAGUUGUAAUUUGUAGAGGAUGCUUUUGGUGAGGUGCCUUCCGAGUUCCCUGGAACGGGACGCCAUAGAGGGUGAGAGCCCCGUCUGGUUGGACGCCGAACCUCUGUAAAGCUCCUUCGACGAGUCGAGUAGUUUGGGAAUGCUGCUCUAAAUGGGAGGUAUAUGUCUUCUAAAGCUAAAUACCGGCCAGAGACCGAUAGCGCACAAGUAGAGUGAUCGAAAGAUGAAAAGAACUUUGAAAAGAGAGUUAAACAGUACGUGAAAUUGUUGAAAGGGAAGCGCUUGUGACCAGACUUGGGCUUGGUUGAUCAUCCGGGGUUCUCCCCGGUGCACUCUUCCGGCCCAGGCCAGCAUCAGUUCGCCCUGGGGGACAAAGGCAUCGGGAACGUGGCUCUCUCCGGGGAGUGUUAUAGCCCGUUGCGUAAUACCCUGCGGCGGACUGAGGUUCGCGCAUUCGCAAGGAUGCUGGCGUAAUGGUCAUCAGUGACCCGUCUUGAAACACGGACCAAGGAGUCGUCUUCGUAUGCGAGUGUUCGGGUGUCAAACCCCUACGCGAAAUGAAAGUGAACGCAGGUGAGAGCUUCGGCGCAUCAUCGACCGAUCCUGAUGUUAUCGGAUGGAUUUGAGUAAGAGCAUACGGGGCCGGACCCGAAAGAAGGUGAACUAUGCCUGUGUAGGGUGAAGCCAGAGGAAACUCUGGUGGAGGCUCGCAGCGGUUCUGACGUGCAAAUCGAUCGUCAAACAUGGGCAUGGGG